RNAcentral lists this ribosomal RNA (635 nucleotides) under uncultured Methanosaeta sp. Its description in RNAcentral is "bacterial SSU rRNA". It matches the Rfam family "Archaeal small subunit ribosomal RNA", at positions 228 to 859 of the family's 1478-position model. The record is from RNAcentral. Lineage: Archaea; Methanobacteriati; Methanobacteriota; Methanomicrobia; Methanotrichales; Methanotrichaceae.
GGAAUUGGCGGGGGAGUGUAACGUACCUACUAGCCUACGACGGGUACGGGUUGUGAGAGCAAGAGCCCGGAGAUGGAUUCUGAGACAUGAAUCCAGGCCCUACGGGGUGCAGCAGGCGCGAAAACUUUACAAUGCGGGCAACCGCGAUAAGGGGACCUCGAGUGCUGGGUUACAAACCUGGCUGUUGGGCUGCCUAAAAAGCAGUCUAUAGCAAGGGCCGGGCAAGACCGGUGCCAGCCGCCGCGGUAACACCGGCGGCUCGAGUGGUAACCGCUAUUAUUGGGUCUAAAGGGUCUGUAGCCGGCCGACUAAGUCUCUUGGGAAAUCUGGCAUCUCAAGUGUCAGGCUGCCAGGGGAUACUGGUCGGCUUGGGACCGGGAGAGGUGAGAGGUACCUCGGGGGUAGGGGUGAAAUCUUGUAAUCCUCGAGGGACCACCAGUGGCGAAGGCGUCUCACCAGAACGGAUCCGACGGCAAGGGACGAAAGCUAGGGGCACGAACCGGAUUAGAUACCCGGGUAGUCCUAGCCGUAAACGAUACUCGCUAGGUGUCGGCCACGGUGCGACCGUGGUCGGUGCCGUAGGGAAGCCGUGAAGCGAGCCACCUGGGAAGUACGGCCGCAAGGCUGAAACUUAA